Molecule: ribosomal RNA, 254 nt
Filed under: uncultured bacterium
Lineage: Bacteria
Description: partial 16S ribosomal RNA
Rfam family: Bacterial small subunit ribosomal RNA
Source: RNAcentral
UACGUAGGGUGCUAGCGUUGUUCGGAAUCACUGGGCGUAAAGGGCGCGUAGGCGGUUCGUUAAGUCGGAUGUGAAAGCCCUCGGCUCAACUGAGGAAGUGCACCCGAAACUGGCGAGCUUGAGUACGAAAGAGGAUCGCGGAAUUCCCGGUGUAGAGGUGAAAUUCGUAGAUAUCGGGAGGAACACCGGUGGCGAAGGCGGCGAUCUGGGUCGAUACUGACGCGUGAGGUGCGAAAGCGUGGGGAGCAAACAGG